GGAGGGAUGGCCGAGCGGCUGAAGGCGCACGCUUGGAAAGCGUGUUCACGGGCAACCGUGACGUGGGUUCGAAUCCCACUCCCUCCGCCA
This 90-nucleotide transfer RNA is filed under the name Rhodospirillales bacterium. Its description in RNAcentral is "tRNA-Ser". It matches the Rfam family "tRNA". Rfam says of the family: Transfer RNA (tRNA) molecules are approximately 80 nucleotides in length. Their secondary structure includes four short double-helical elements and three loops (D, anti-codon, and T loops). Further hydrogen bonds mediate the characteristic L-shaped molecular structure. tRNAs have two regions of fundamental functional importance: the anti-codon, which is responsible for specific mRNA codon recognition, and the 3' end, to which the tRNAs corresponding amino acid is attached (by aminoacyl-tRNA synthetases). tRNAs cope with the degeneracy of the genetic code in two manners: having more than one tRNA (with a specific anti-codon) for a particular amino acid; and 'wobble' base-pairing, i.e. permitting non-standard base-pairing at the 3rd anti-codon position. Lineage: Bacteria; Pseudomonadati; Pseudomonadota; Alphaproteobacteria; Rhodospirillales. The record is from RNAcentral.